AAGUGAAAAAGGCAAACUAUGGGAAACUAUAGGACGCAAAGCCAUGGGCCUGUAUCAUGUUAACUAGUUAACGUGAAUGGUAGCCGGUUACCACA
Molecule: non-coding RNA, 95 nt
Filed under: Domibacillus iocasae
Lineage: Bacteria; Bacillati; Bacillota; Bacilli; Caryophanales; Bacillaceae
Description: c-di-GMP sequence
Rfam family: c-di-GMP-I riboswitch aptamer
About the family: GEMM was predicted in a large-scale screen for bacterial structured RNA regulatory elements. Genes associated with GEMM are involved in a diverse array of functions, including chemotaxis regulation, signal transduction, secretion and chitin.
Source: Rfam by way of RNAcentral